CUUUGUACACCCACCCCAAGGGGGACCCAGUGUCUCCCUGUGCCUUGCUGUGGCACGAGGUGAUGCGCUCCCCCAGUUCUAAACUGCAGCUGUGCUCAGGUCUCAUUUAUCCAAUGUUAGAGUACAUGUGUGACUAUACUGUCAUCUCCUGGAAACGAGAGUCAAAAUGUGCAUUUUUUCAUGUUUAUUCUGCCCAAGUGUGAGCUUAAUCUACAGCUGCUGAGUUACGCUGUGCAUGGAAGCUUUAUCUGCGUGUUGUUCCUGGCUUGACCUUGAACCAGAAGCAUUCCAGUGUUAUAGUUCUCUUGGUUGCUGAUAACUCUUUGUUCCUGAUUUCUUUGCUCAGGGUGUUUGUUCCAUGCUGGUUGCUUCUCUCUAAAUUCCUUGAAAAUGAAUGUUGCAAUGUGUGUCUCACGAAACUCCAAAUUAACAGUGCAGGUAAUUAAAAAUAACAGCCAAGCUACAAGAAUGCAGCUCCAUAGCAGCAGCAACACCCUGAGCCGUGCCUACCUUUGUGUGUGUGACUGGAAGAGGGCUCUGUCUGUAGCACAGGUUUGGAACACCAAGAGGUCAAACCAGCACUUUUUCUUUCACAUCUCUGAAUGUGUUUCUUUAUCACCUGAUGCUGAUAGAUGACACAGUCUCAGUUCACCUGGCAGUCAAGCUGAAGUAACAUUUUUAUUGCCCUUUAAAGACUUGGUGUUGUUACACGUAAGAAAUUUACAUUAUUAAUGUAAAUUCAACCUCGUCUUUUUUUUUUUUAACAGCAAUGUCUGCGUGGUUUCCAUGUGCUUCCAUGCACAAAGUCCAGAAAAGCAACCCGUAACAUGCAGGAGGGGAACGCUGAACUUCCAAAACAUUUCUUAUACAGAUCAAAGUGUAUUUAUUAUAUAGACUCCUUAUAAAUCUGUAUGUAUGAACCAAAUGCAGUCCUAGUGAAAUGAACCGGUAGAAAUAAGGUGUUAUGAUUAAACAUCUCUACAGUGAAAUGUGAAAUGGGGUAAACGUUCACCUAGAACGUCACACUGGACUUUGAGCAGGAGUUUCUCAUACAGCAGAAAUCCUGCCUCAGCUGUAAGGCAUGGUGGGGGAAGGAGGAGACAGAAAUGCCUUUGCUGCUCUGCUUAGUUUGGCCUGUAAAAUAGCAAAAGGUGUUUAUUCUACAUUGGUGUGCAGUGUGAGUUCAGGUUCUGUUAAUGCCACGUAGCUCACAGAUUGCAUGCAGCCCUAAGAAAUGAAAGGAUCUGAUUACAGAACUGGUCUUUAUUGUCUACAGUUGAUACAAAACGUCUGUUGCAGAAAUUACUUCCCCAGGUAAGAAAAUGAGCACUCAGUGAUACAUCGGUAACAACGAAGUAAGGAAGUUGAGAAUUACUUCUUCACCUAAAUUUAAUGGUUUAUUUCAUAGUUCCACUGAUGAAAUUUUCCAUUUGCUUCAAUGAUUAGCCACGACUCCCAUCCUUCUGGUACAUAUACAGAAGUGUCAGGCUCAGCACGUACAGCCACAAACCAAAGGAACGCUUUACAUAUGACAGGUUGCUUUUAUAGUGAUCACGCACUGAUGUGAACAUAGACUAAAAAUAACAAAUGUUGCUUUAAUAAGGAUUUUUUUUUACAGUAGGCGUAAAUAUAAAAGUGUUUCAAAUUAUUUUCACAGGUAUCACUGAACAUUUCAUAGCUGUCUGUUACAGAAGCACCUAAAAGUGCUUUGAGUCUUUCAUUUAUUAUACAUAGUUAAAAUAUAUUACACUUCUGAAGGUAUCUUAGAUCACUGAACAGUUGCUAGCAUCUUGAUGAGCCCAAUGGGAGUAAAAGGCAGUCCACAUUCAUGAUGUGAAUAUACAGUAAGGUGUUUGAUGUCCUGUUAAGUCAUUGCUCAUGUUCUCAAAAUAACCAUGGUGAUGAGACCUGAAAGAAAGGAUUAAGAACUGAAGUGCUUGAAUUUUUCAAGAUAGAGAAGACAGUUAUCAUUUCACAGGGCAGAAAAUAAAGCAGAAGUAAUGCAUGCAGAAGGAGCUCAUGUAGACCCCUUCCAUAAAUACUAGAAGUAUUGCUCCAAAUUCUGAUGUAGAUACAAACCAGUGUGUUACAUCAUAGUGAAGUGUUAGUAGCUAAAUCUCAAAGAAGCUACAACUGCUCUGUACAACUAUCCAACUGACUGCUGGAAAAUCUCAUCCAUGUCAAAAUCUCAAUGCUUACAUGGGCAUGGAAGCCAUUGGUUUUGCUGUGCAAUAGUUAUGGGCAGCGUAAUUCAAAUUACUGCUGAGUCAGCAGUAAGGCAGGUUAGCUAAAAGCUAGAUGAUGAUUUUUAUUCAUUUCUCUGCAGAAUAACACUUGUCUGAAACUAACCUUUGAUCAAUCUGCAUAGGGAGCUUUCUGCAGCCUCUGUGACCUUUAAGAAGGGAGGAAAAAAAGUCUGCUCUGACAGAGGCCUAAAAAGCCCCAAACAAUUAAAAACAGGCUCCAGGGAUGAAAGCAGAAAAUAGAAGGUUAGAAAACCUACUACUGCCACACUGAAAAACUCACUGCCAUCAUGUGUUGAUAAAAGAAAAUGGUUCAUAGCCAUGAGUUUAUUUAGUACAGGACAAAGAGGCAUAUGGAAAAAACAUACAGGCCUUCUGCAACAUCAAAAUAGUAAUUCAUCAGUUCUUAGGCAAUCUUAUGUCAGGCUUGGACUACAUUCCUGUAACAGCCUUUCACAGCAGAGAUCUUACAGCCUACAGAUCUCGCCAGACAAAGAAAUUGCUGAGACUCUUCAACUAUGUUGCCUCUAUGUAACUCAUUUACUUCAUAAAGAUUUUAAAGAUAAAAGCAGAACAGAACAGAAUUGUAAUGCUGCCUUCUAUUAGACAAGCAUUUCAUCCCAUUAAAGAGGAAUUAUAGUUCAGCUAUUUGUUAAGGUCUGCAUUAGCUCAGACAAUCCCCGCUAUCAGAACUGCUGUAGGCCCUAAUUUAGAUUAUUUAAAUCAUUGCAGAAUAACAAGCUUCUAGAAGGUGCUAUGGAACAACCUGCACCACGUGUAUGGGUUUAACUCAUUUCUGUAAAGCAAAUUCUUCUCAAAUGUCAUGUAGUCUUAUUGGCAUGGCAUAAAUCUCCCUUUUCAAUGAAAAACUGAACAAUCCAGUGGUACUUCAUUGUGGAAGACAGUGUUUGCACCUUCUUAAAGGCUAUCUACUUGUGUUGUAGAUAAGUGCUGUACCCAGAGGAGCCUCUUCAUGAGCAGUAAGAACCCUGCCACCAGUAGAAUCAAGACCUGUAGGAACUUCACAACGCAUCUACAAACAGGUAGGUUGUUGCAAAUAUAUGAAUUCACAUGGUUUAAUACCAUAGUUGUCACCAGCAGAAAUUGGAGCUAUUUUCAAAACUAGAGGUAAAAAUAAAACCAGGAUUACUGCAAGAUUAGAAUCUGAAAAUGCAUUGUUAUCAGCUCAGAUAAAGAUGUAGGCUUCUGGUUAGCAACAGGUGAGAUUUAAAAGCCUUUCAGCAGACUAGCUUGCCAAAGUCGGUCACUAAACUGUGUGCAUUUAAUUAACAAGAUCUUGCAUCCUUUCCCACCACUACCUCACCUCUAGCUAUCAGUUUGAAGCUGCCUAGCUCUUUGCUUUAGAUUCUCAUUUCUGCCAGGUAGUGGGAUGGGAGAACUGAGUUAAGUGUGAGUGCUCUUCCAAUCUGAAAUAGCUACAGAAAAACAGUCAAAUCAAACGAAGCCUGCAACUUAUCUAUGCUUCCUAAUUUAGGAGCAAGUUAGCAAUCAGGAAGAGUUGUGGAUGGCAGUGAUUUCUUAGUAAGCAGUAAUUUAUUUUUGAACAUUUCAACUGUUUACCAAGACAACAGUGAGCAGAGCCUUUCAGAUCAGCUCAUUUGGCUUGAGGAAAGAAACAGAACCAGAAGAGCUCUAGGUUCUGCAACAGACUAACUCUGUAUUUCAGUGUAAGAAACAGUAGAACAUUCCACUCAGUUUUAUUGGCGGAUGAUGAUAGGCAUUAAUAAUUUCACCAGUCAUCAAAUGAAGGCAAAAUUAGCAUGUAGGGGCCUGGAUAUAAUAUUGACUAGAAUCUGGUCUAAACAUUUUUUUUAAUAAUCAAUUUUCCCUCAUAUAUCAUUCUGGCUGUAACUUAGAAUAAAAGUGGGGAUGGAAAAGAAACUGUAAGGCAGUUCUUUGUCUCCAAGUUUCCUGAAGCUGCUGACAAACAGCUGAGAAGUUUCCCCAAUCACAAAAGCUGCACUAAAACACAAGAUCCAGAAUACUUACCUAAAACAUAAGCAGCAACUAACUUUUGAUUCACACUUAAAUGGAGGUAGAGAGGCACCAGGGAUUCCAUUUCCCCCAACGUAGGUAGCAUUAGCGCUGCAAUACACACUAUUCCCAGGAAGACAGUUAGUAAACUAGGUCCCGAUGAGGCAGGUCUGUUUUCUGGUUGACACAAAGUCUGCUCGAAAAAGACACUUUCAGACAGGUGUUCUUUUAUUCGCUUUUCCUCCUCUUCCUUUUGUUGUGGUGGUUCCUUUGCAGAUGGAAGCAGAGUAGCAAUAAUCUCCUUUCUCCCUAGUGCUUUCCUCUGGCUUUGCUCAGACACUUGCAGACGGAAUUUAUCUAUCACACCAUAGUGAGAAGCACGAACAUCUCUGUGACGAAUCACACUGCAGAGUAAAAAAAUGUCAAACAGAGCAGCUAGUAAAAAUGUCUCCUGUGGAAUCAUGCCCUGCAAUGCCCAAUGUUUCCCCUGUUUUCCCCACACAGAUAAAUUGCAAUAGUUCACAUCCCCAUUCCAUUCUUAAUUACUCAAUGUUCUUGAAGAUUUGAUCUUGCCUCAUCUCUCUCCUCCCCGUGUUUGCUGCACCAUGAUAGGGUAUUCUAGUUCCUAAAUAUAUCUGCUCCAAUUGACUGGCCAAAAAGAACAGUUAUUCUUUCUCAGAACACACCAUUAGGGACCUGUCUGCCAAUUUUCACAAAAUAUCAGUUAUCUGAAAGAUGCCUCCUCUUAAAACAGUUUUGCUAUAUGCUGUUCAAUAUAUCAAAAGGUAGAGAGGGAUGUGGGGUUGGUAGGGAAGAAAAGGACUGCCAGACACUUGGACAGACAAGGUGAUGGCAGAAGUCUCUUCAGGAAAACAGGCUCAAAGCUUCAAAAUUAUCUUUUCUCAGAAGCAAAACAUUCUCUCUAUGGGUAAGAGUCAGCUAGCUUUAAAGAUUUUCACAAUCAGAAACUCACCAGUUUAAGGCAUGUAAUUGCAGUAAAAUUACCACUGUGUACUUAUAUAAACGUUUCCCACCUUUCAGUGAGCAAGCUUGGCCCUCAAAAGUAGAGCUCUGCGCUGUCAAAGCUUUGCUGAGCAGUCUUGCUACCUUGAGCAUAUUCUGCAGCCUGAACUGAAAUACUGCAGAUACUUGACCAGCUAGCAAGAGCUUGACCUGGUGUUAUCUACACAAGCUGCAAUCAUAACCCUAACUGCAGCAUAGGCAUACACUGAGCCAUGCCUGGAAUCCACUUUUUCCCCUCACAAACUUUUGUACUGUCCAGCAACCACUGUGAAGUCUGAUGUUUUGAACAAGUUGACCAAGAUAGCUUUAAAAUUAAGGCACUGUGAUAGCUGUUACAUUACUUCUAGUUUUAUGGUAUUUAAUGUGAAAAAAAAUCAUAUGCAGGACAUGUAAAAGGCACAGUUUAAAAAUAACACUGAUCAAAGGCAAUACAGACCUUUGCACACUGCUCUGCUCACCUGCCUCCUCUCUGCAUUUAUGAUUCAUUAUGAAAAUACCCAUCUAGCACUAAAAAAAGAAAACAUUCAGGUUUUUAAGUCAUAUCAGCUCUUAGAGUUAAAACAAAGUGUAUUUUUCUGGAGUGGAAGAUUGUUGUUGUUGUUGUUCUUCUUCUUUAUGGGAGGCUUCUCUAAAUUUCUAAGAUAAUAAUAGCUAACCUGAAAAAAC
This 5927-nucleotide long non-coding RNA is filed under the name Gallus gallus (chicken). Lineage: Eukaryota; Metazoa; Chordata; Aves; Galliformes; Phasianidae. The record is from RNAcentral.